RNAcentral lists this ribosomal RNA (1555 nucleotides) under Lacticaseibacillus paracasei. Its description in RNAcentral is "bacterial SSU rRNA". It matches the Rfam family "Bacterial small subunit ribosomal RNA". Lineage: Bacteria; Bacillati; Bacillota; Bacilli; Lactobacillales; Lactobacillaceae. The record is from RNAcentral.
UUUAUAUGAGAGUUUGAUCCUGGCUCAGGAUGAACGCUGGCGGCGUGCCUAAUACAUGCAAGUCGAACGAGUUCUCGUUGAUGAUCGGUGCUUGCACCGAGAUUCAACAUGGAACGAGUGGCGGACGGGUGAGUAACACGUGGGUAACCUGCCCUUAAGUGGGGGUAACAUUUGGAAACAGAUGCUAAUACGCAGAUCCAAGAACCGCAUGGUUCUUGGCUGAAAGAUGGCGUAAGCUAUCGCUUUUGGAUGGACCCGCGGCGUAUUAGCUAGUUGGUGAGGUAAUGGCUCACCAAGGCGAUGAUACGUAGCCGAACUGAGAGGUUGAUCGGCCACAUUGGGACUGAGACACGGCCCAAACUCCUACGGGAGGCAGCAGUAGGGAAUCUUCCACAAUGGACGCAAGUCUGAUGGAGCAACGCCGCGUGAGUGAAGAAGGCUUUCGGGUCGUAAAACUCUGUUGUUGGAGAAGAAUGGUCGGCAGAGUAACUGUUGUCGGCGUGACGGUAUCCAACCAGAAAGCCACGGCUAACUACGUGCCAGCAGCCGCGGUAAUACGUAGGUGGCAAGCGUUAUCCGGAUUUAUUGGGCGUAAAGCGAGCGCAGGCGGUUUUUUAAGUCUGAUGUGAAAGCCCUCGGCUUAACCGAGGAAGCGCAUCGGAAACUGGGAAACUUGAGUGCAGAAGAGGACAGUGGAACUCCAUGUGUAGCGGUGAAAUGCGUAGAUAUAUGGAAGAACACCAGUGGCGAAGGCGGCUGUCUGGUCUGUAACUGACGCUGAGGCUCGAAAGCAUGGGUAGCGAACAGGAUUAGAUACCCUGGUAGUCCAUGCCGUAAACGAUGAAUGCUAGGUGUUGGAGGGUUUCCGCCCUUCAGUGCCGCAGCUAACGCAUUAAGCAUUCCGCCUGGGGAGUACGACCGCAAGGUUGAAACUCAAAGGAAUUGACGGGGGCCCGCACAAGCGGUGGAGCAUGUGGUUUAAUUCGAAGCAACGCGAAGAACCUUACCAGGUCUUGACAUCUUUUGAUCACCUGAGAGAUCAGGUUUCUUCGGGGCAAAAUGACAGGUGGUGCAUGGUUGUCGUCAGCUCGUGUCGUGAGAUGUUGGGUUAAGUCCCGCAACGAGCGCAACCCUUAUGACUAGUUGCCAGCAUUUAGUUGGGCACUCUAGUAAGACUGCCGGUGACAAACCGGAGGAAGGUGGGGAUGACGUCAAAUCAUCAUGCCCCUUAUGACCUGGGCUACACGUGCUACAAUGGAUGGUACAACGAGUUGCGAGACCGCGAGGUCAAGCUAAUCUCUUAAAGCCAUUCUCAGUUCGGACUGUAGGCUGCAACUCGCCUACACGAAGUCGGAAUCGCUAGUAAUCGCGGAUCAGCACGCCGCGGUGAAUACGUUCCCGGGCCUUGUACACACCGCCCGUCACACCAUGAGAGUUUGUAACACCCGAAGCCGGUGGCGUAACCCUUUUAGGAGCGAGCCGUCAAAUGAAGGGUGAAGUCGUAACAAGGUAGCCGUAGGAGAACCUGCGGCUGGAUCACCUCCUUUCUAAGGAA